GUGACUAGGCUGGAGGCUACACAUGCAAGUCGAGCGGAUGAGAAGAGCUUGCUCUUCGAUUCAGCGGCGGACGGGUGAGUAAUGCCUAGGAAUCUGCCUGGUAGUGGGGGACAACGUUUCGAAAGGAACGCUAAUACCGCAUACGUCCUACGGGAGAAAGCAGGGGACCUUCGGGCCUUGCGCUAUCAGAUGAGCCUAGGUCGGAUUAGCUAGUUGGUGGGGUAAUGGCUCACCAAGGCGACGAUCCGUAACUGGUCUGAGAGGAUGAUCAGUCACACUGGAACUGAGACACGGUCCAGACUCCUACGGGAGGCAGCAGUGGGGAAUAUUGGACAAUGGGCGAAAGCCUGAUCCAGCCAUGCCGCGUGUGUGAAGAAGGUCUUCGGAUUGUAAAGCACUUUUAAGUUGGGGAGGAAGGGCAGUAAGCGAAUACCUUGCUGUUUUGACGUUACCGACAGAAUAAGCACCCGGCUAACUCUG
This 480-nucleotide ribosomal RNA is filed under the name Pseudomonas oryzihabitans. RNAcentral's name for it is "bacterial SSU rRNA". It matches the Rfam family "Bacterial small subunit ribosomal RNA", at positions 38 to 505 of the family's 1533-position model. The record is from RNAcentral. Lineage: Bacteria; Pseudomonadati; Pseudomonadota; Gammaproteobacteria; Pseudomonadales; Pseudomonadaceae.